UUCUGCAACAUACUUUCAAUGUUACAUCACAGAAGUGGUAUCAGAAAAUGGUUUAUCGUAAAUUGCAACCCAGAUUGCCAUCUAUCCACUACACCUCCAGGAAUCUGAACUCUGGAGUAAUUUAGAGAUGUAGCAAGAGACAAAGCCAUUGGAAAUGGACAUCAAGCUGGGGAAAACUUUUCUGAGACUAGAAGCUUUUUCCAGGAAAAUCAAUUAAGAAGAAACGUCAAGAUCAAUUGCUGGACAGAAUGCUGCAGUGUCUCCUCAGGACCACAGGAUCGUACAAGCACACCAGACUGCUCUGCUACUCCCUCCGCUGCCUUCGCACAAAAUUCCUAAUCGUCUUCAAGGUCUUGGUGCUUAUCUGGGCCUGCAAACUCUAAAACACCCUAAUGCUCCAGAUGAAGACCGGUUGCUGGAUACUCUUCUCCAGCAUAAGGGAACCUUUACAAUAAGGGUAAAGACUGGUGCAGGAAGCCCAAUCUGAGACUGGAGUGAAUUCCUUCAGGACCGAGGACUAUCACAAACCUCAGCGCCUUCUGCUCCAACUGCAAGAGCUUGCUGCUCUACCACAAAUGCAUGGCAAAGGGUAUAUUUUACUUAUAAAAUCCCAAACACAACAAACUGACAAACCCCCUUCCUACCUAAACAAGACAUGCUACUGUACAUACUGCACCUGACAAGAUGAUACAUUUCAUGUGACAGAUGUGUUAUGUUGCAUCAUACAUUACUGGAAGGCACUCAGAUGCUAUGGUGAUGAGUGAAGUAUAAGAACCCAGAUAGUACCAAAGAGAAUAGUAAAAUUUGGUCUUGUUUUGCUAGAAGGUUCAUUGGCAUUCUCACAGAUGUAGUUGAAAGGAUUUUAAGGAGGUGGAAUAAAAAUCACUUCCCCUCAAUUAAUUAGGGUUUAACUGCAAGGUUUCUGGUUGAAGCCUUGGUCCUACCCAUUCUCUAAACAUUUAUAGCAGUGUUUCUUAAACUGUGUUCUGUGGUACACUGGUGUGCCACGAGGCGGUUGGAGGUGUGUCACGGAAAACAAUAGCUUUAAAGGGGCAAGCAACUUUUUUUUUUGGC
Long non-coding RNA from Pelodiscus sinensis (Chinese soft-shelled turtle), 1074 nucleotides. RefSeq lists it as uncharacterized. The record is from RefSeq and is a predicted model, not a curated record. NCBI's taxonomy places the organism in Eukaryota, Metazoa, Chordata, Testudines, Trionychidae.